RNAcentral lists this transfer RNA (58 nucleotides) under Marmota marmota marmota (Alpine marmot). It matches the Rfam family "tRNA", at positions 8 to 63 of the family's 71-position model. From Rfam's summary of the family: Transfer RNA (tRNA) molecules are approximately 80 nucleotides in length. RNAcentral also lists the same sequence under 1 other name. Lineage: Eukaryota; Metazoa; Chordata; Mammalia; Rodentia; Sciuridae. The record is from Rfam by way of RNAcentral.
UAGCUCAGUUGGUAGAGUGUUUGCCUCACAUGCAUAAGGCCCUGGGUUCAAUCCCCAG